Molecule: ribosomal RNA, 253 nt
Filed under: uncultured bacterium
Lineage: Bacteria
Description: partial 16S ribosomal RNA
Rfam family: Bacterial small subunit ribosomal RNA
Source: RNAcentral
UACGUAGGGUGCAAGCGUUAAUCGGAAUUACUGGGCGUAAAGCGUGCGCAGGCGGUUGUGCAAGACCGAUGUGAAAGCCCUGGGCUCAACCUGGGAAUGGCACUGGAUACUGGAAGGCUAGAGUACGGUAGAGGAGGGUGGAAUUCCCGGUGUAGCGGUGAAAUGCGCAGAUAUCGGGAGGAACACCUAUGGCGAAGGCAGCUCGCUGGGACGUUACUGACGCUGAUGGACGAAAGCGUGGGGAGCGAACAGG